GCCUCCCAAAGUGCUGGGAUUACAGGCUGAGUCAUGCCACCCAGCUGAUGUUGAUCUUUUCUAUCCAUGAGCAUAAAGUAAUUUUCAAUAUAUUUGUGUCAUAUCUGACUUAUUUAAGCAGUGUUUUGUAAUUCUUGUAGAGAUCUUUCACUUGCCUGAUCAGCUGUAUUCCUGGAUGUUUUAUUAUUUUUGUGGCAAUUGUGAAUGGGAUUGUGUUUUUAUUUUUGUUUGUUUAUUUGUUUUUUGAGAUGGAGUUUCGCUCUUGUUGCCCAGGCUGGAGUGCAAUGGUGCAAUCUUGGCUCACUGCAACCUCGACCUCCCGGGUUCAAACGAUUCUCCUGCCUUAGCCUGCCAAGUAGCUGGGAUUACAGGCCUGUGCCACCACGCCUGGCUAAUUUUUUGUUUAGGAGAGACGGGGUUUCACCAUGUUAGUCAGGCUGGUCUUGAACUCCUGACCUCAGGUGUUAGGCGAUCCACCCACCUCGGCCUCCCAAAGUGCUGGGAUUUCAGGCAUGAGCCACGACGCCUGGACAACUUUGUCAUUUUUAGUGAUACUCAGAUAUGUUCCAUUGCAGAAAAUUGUAUUUUAUUAGUUAUUAUUGUGUUUUUUGGACUCAUCUACAUGGGAUGAGUCCUAAGAGAUUCAGUUUAAAAAAGUUUUUUUAGGUACAUUAAGGACAUUAUUUAUCUUUUGUAACCUGUUCAUGUCUAUGUCUGUUACUUGCAUCAGGCAGUGACUCAAACAAUUCUCAAAAAACAGAAAGUAUAUUUCUCUUAAAGUUGGCUUAUUAAGGGACUAUGAGGUGAUCCAAUUCAAUAAGAACCAAACUAGACCUACUAAGAUUAGUCAGGACUAUCAGAGAAUUUUUCAAAUACAUUCACCAUUAAUCCAGAGAUAAUUGUGAAUCCCAACUUUUACCCUAAGAAAAAUUAUUGCAAUGUAGUAAAGUUGAUUCUGUCUUUAAAAAGAAAGAGGAGCACAAUGAGAUUUCCUGUGGCCAGUUGAAGUUCAUGAAGUUUGUCAAAGAAUUUCACAUACAUAGUAAAUCUUCUGAUAGCAUUUAGUUCCAAUCACAAUAAAUUAUACUUGUCUCUGUCUUCUAUAAUUAAUCUCUUCUCUCUUUAAAAAACUCUGUAUUUUCUGUAUAAAAAUAGUGAUUAUUGGCUGUGCACGGUGGCUCACGCCUGUAAUCCCAGCACUUUGGCAGGCCAAGGUGGGUGGAUUACGAGGUCA
RNAcentral lists this long non-coding RNA (1234 nucleotides) under Homo sapiens (human). RNAcentral describes it as "HSALNT0341247". Lineage: Eukaryota; Metazoa; Chordata; Mammalia; Primates; Hominidae. The record is from RNAcentral.